AGGUUUCCGUAGGUGACCAGCGGAGGGAUCAUUAC
This 35-nucleotide ribosomal RNA is filed under the name Neurospora sp. JL. RNAcentral describes it as "partial 18S ribosomal RNA". Lineage: Eukaryota; Fungi; Ascomycota; Sordariomycetes; Sordariales; Sordariaceae. The record is from RNAcentral.